Molecule: non-coding RNA, 126 nt
Organism: Testicularia cyperi
Lineage: Eukaryota; Fungi; Basidiomycota; Ustilaginomycetes; Ustilaginales; Anthracoideaceae
Source: the annotation of a GenBank genome assembly
GGCACUAUGGCGGAGUGGUUAUCGCGUGGCACUCGAACUUUUAUCAGCUCGAGAGUGAAUUCUUCUACUCACCAAAAACAUAUGCCAUUCCCUCUGGGAGCACAGGUUCAAAUCCUGUUGGUGUCG